GUCUGUCGCUGUCUGCUUUGACACAGCUCUCAGAGUCUCAGGAACACUGGAGGGCGGAUGACUCCUUCUGGAGCUGAACGAUCCCUCCACCGUGAACAGAUUGGAACCGUUUAAUGUCAUCGCACACAACAGGUCCAUGAAAUGCCAAGGCUACCUCAAGGCCUUCGUGUCCAUAAGGAUGCUGAGUGUCCAACACGCCAUCAGUGUUUAGUGCUAUGCUUGUGUUUCUCAACUCCAGGCCUACUUGCCAGCAGACCUGCAUUUAGUGUCUGAAAGGUGUUUGUGAUAACCAUCAUUUUCUGUCAUUUGAUGCAUGUUAAAACAGCCCCCGUAGUUUAGACCUGUAAUAUAUUUUCCCCUCAGAUGUCACAGAGUUUUCAUUAGGCCUGGCGUUGGGUUUGCUCAGGCUCAUUAUAGCCCAAGAUAACCCUUUAAAGACACGCCACAGAGUCUGACCUCGAGGAUUACCUGAAAAACUGAAGUUAACAUCCAUUCUUCAAGAGACAAGAACUUUAUCAACAACAGAGAGGAGCAUAUGUCACUAAGUUUUGCAAGUUGUUUGACUCAAACUGUCAUAUCAGUCACUGAUCUCUGAUUACACUGGGUCUGAAAUUAACGUAAAAGUGAAUUUCUCUGGAUUAAAAGGAGGACCAUGAACUUUUGCCAAAGGGCGUACAGCUCAAACUGCUCGCCUGUUGCCUUGCACAAACCUUCUUGAUGAAUAUGUCACACUUUUCUUUAAUGACAGACCAAAGGCUUGUACCAACCCACCCCUCACAACCAGGCUGAUUGAUCUGGGUAAUAUGAUGCUGUGCGUCUGAAGAUAAAACACAAGCAUGAUGUAUGUAAUGAUCCCACCAAUCCUCACUGCAGACCAGGCAGCUUUUAACCUGAGCACAUAACGUGCCAUUAGGUCCUUCCUAAUGCCCUGCCCUUGUUUGUUUUGAGCAAAGCUAACACUUGACACGCCAACAUUUUGUUUCCAGCAAGACCUAACCCAUCUAGUGACUGAAUGCAAAGCGUUGCUCUGCAGGAGUUACUGUAAUACCACAUCUCAGUGCUGGGAUCAUGGGGCAUCUGUCUGACCAGGACUUCCCACAUAUCAGUAGCAGCACUGGGUCAUCAAGUGGAGAUGGUGACCUGAGAGAAGACUUCAUUAGGUGAACUGGAAGCCAAUUAGUCCCCAGCUGCACAGCAGAGGAGCAUUAGAGUUAGUGGAAGAACACUCGUCACCACAGUCACUGACAGGAACAGCAGGAGACCAGAUGAAGAAUUCAAAGCCUUUUUUCGGGUAUGCUAUGAACUGAUCUCAAACGUGGGAACUCUUCAGUGAUAUCUGUGUUGAAAUCCAUCUCAUGGCUUCCCUAUAUUAUGACUUUAUGUUGCUGUUUCUGUGCAUACCCAUUGUGGAGUAAUUAAUGGUGAUAGAUGUUCUGAAACAGGCCAGUGGAUGUAAAGAAUCAUCCAUGCUGAUUUAGAUAUGACCAGAGACACUCUAGAGCUGUAAGUUUUGGGGGGUUGGGUUUAGAAGACCCCUAGAGAUGGUUUCAGAAAUUAUUCACCACUUUAGGGGGGCAGGGUGUGUGUCUGGACUGGGACUGGCCAGUUCGUCUGAGUGGGGACUAAUGAAAACAAAUGAUCUGACGAGGUCAAAAGGUUGAGAUCAAGGCUGAAGGAUCCUCCGCCCCUCUCAAUUUCCAACUUGGGAGAUUAAUGAGGGCAGAGAACAGCCAUUUCUCUGUAUCAUUUACUCCCUGAGGCCUCUGAACCCCAUGGCCCACCUGUUGGCCUAUUAAGGCCUUGUGACACUCAGCCAGAGGGAAUCACUCCUGACUCGAGGCUGUAUCUGCUCUGUCCUGUUCACAGCAGCACAGACAGUGCAUUGUGUAUUGUGUCAUGUUUCCAUUUUAUACUUUUGACCUUAAAGAGAGCUGUAAUCACAGUUUAUACCA
Molecule: long non-coding RNA, 1952 nt
Organism: Scatophagus argus
Lineage: Eukaryota; Metazoa; Chordata; Actinopteri; Scatophagidae
Exons: 3
Source: RefSeq, a predicted model, not a curated record